RNAcentral lists this transfer RNA (73 nucleotides) under Tactostoma macropus (longfin dragonfish). Its description in RNAcentral is "tRNA-Lys". It matches the Rfam family "tRNA". From Rfam's summary of the family: Transfer RNA (tRNA) molecules are approximately 80 nucleotides in length. Their secondary structure includes four short double-helical elements and three loops (D, anti-codon, and T loops). Lineage: Eukaryota; Metazoa; Chordata; Actinopteri; Stomiiformes; Stomiidae. The record is from RNAcentral.
CACUGAGAAGCUAAACCGGACAUAGCAUUAGCCUUUUGAGCUAAAGAAUGGUGGCCCCAAUCACCCUUAGUGA